This 559-nucleotide ribosomal RNA is filed under the name uncultured bacterium. RNAcentral describes it as "partial 16S ribosomal RNA". It matches the Rfam family "Bacterial small subunit ribosomal RNA", at positions 355 to 937 of the family's 1533-position model. The record is from RNAcentral.
UGGGGAAUAUUGGACAAUGGGCGCAAGCCUGAUCCAGCCAUGCCGCGUGAGUGAUGAAGGCCUUAGGGUUGUAAAGCUCUUUCGGCGGGGACGAUAAUGACGGUACCCGCAGAAGAAGCCCCGGCUAACUUCGUGCCAGCAGCCGCGGUAAUACGAAGGGGGCUAGCGUUGCUCGGAAUCACUGGGCGUAAAGGGCGCGUAGGCGGACAUUUAAGUCGGGGGUGAAAGCCCAGGGCUCAACCCUGGAAUUGCCUCCGAUACUGGGUGUCUCGAGACCGGAAGAGGUGAGUGGAACUGCGAGUGUAGAGGUGAAAUUCGUAGAUAUUCGCAAGAACACCAGUGGCGAAGGCGGCUCACUGGUCCGGUUCUGACGCUGAGGCGCGAAAGCGUGGGGAGCAAACAGGAUUAGAUACCCUGGUAGUCCACGCCGUAAACGAUGGAUGCUAGCCGUUGGCAGGCUUGCCUGUCAGUGGCGCAGCUAACGCUUUAAGCAUCCCGCCUGGGGAGUACGGCCGCAAGGUUAAAACUCAAAGGAAUUGACGGGGUCAUAGCUGUUUCC